Molecule: ribosomal RNA, 586 nt
Filed under: uncultured bacterium
Lineage: Bacteria
Description: bacterial SSU rRNA
Rfam family: Bacterial small subunit ribosomal RNA
Source: RNAcentral
ACGGGUGAGUAACACGUGGGUAACCUGCCUCAAGGAGGGGAAUAGCCUCCCGAAAGGGAGAUUAAUACCGCAUAAUAUGUUUUGAUCGCAUGAUCGAGACAUCAAAGGAUUUUCUUCGGAAUUUCCACUUUGAGAUGGACCCGCGGCGCAUUAGCUAGUUGGAGAGGUAACGGCUCACCAAGGCAACGAUGCGUAGCCGACCUGAGAGGGUGAUCGGCCACAUUGGAACUGAGACACGGUCCAGACUCCUACGGGAGGCAGCAGUGGGGAAUAUUGCGCAAUGGGGGAAACCCUGACGCAGCAACGCCGCGUGAAUGAUGAAGGCCUUCGGGUUGUAAAGUUCUGUCUUCUGGGACGAUAAUGACGGUACCAGAGGAGGAAGCCACGGCUAACUACGUGCCAGCAGCUGCGGUAAUACGUAGGUGGCAAGCGUUGUCCGGAUUUACUGGGCGUAAAGGAUGCGUAGGCGGACAUUUGAGUCAGAUGUGAAAUACCCGAGCUUAACUUGGGUGCUGCAUUUGAAGCUGGGUGUCUAGAGUGCAGGAGAGGUAAGUGGAAUUCCUAGUGUAGCGGUGAAAUGCGUAGA